Molecule: long non-coding RNA, 2095 nt
Organism: Syngnathus acus (greater pipefish)
Lineage: Eukaryota; Metazoa; Chordata; Actinopteri; Syngnathiformes; Syngnathidae
Exons: 3
Source: RefSeq, a predicted model, not a curated record
CAGAGAGGAAUGUUUGGCAGCUUCUCUGGGAAACGCCACUUCAGGGCCUACAGCUGUCAUUGACCAGGCACAUGAAGUCUUCCACAGACAGUUCAACAGUGAGAAGCUGGCAGAGGAAGAUGACCCACCCGAAACUCCCCCUCCCUGCGCUAAUGAGGGACCAGACAAUCUACGACUCAUAGACCUCCUAUGAUGUCUGAAAUCUUUGUUCUUCAAUUUCCCAUCACAUCCAUUGCAAUCUGUACCAGCACUAGGAGAGGGUGUGAUAACACACAGUGGUUCAGGACUGCAGGGCUGGCUGUGAGUGUGUGCGGGGUUGUGGCUCGGUUCGUAUGAAGUAAGGGCAAGCCCAAGACACCAGUGUGACAUUCCUUCAAAGGCCUCAUCAGAACAUCUCCCGACAAAGGAAAGUGUAGCUCAAGGCUCGAGGGGAUUAGCAGGGUCUGGGUCAUUAGGCCUCACCCAAAUAGCCCUGAGGAGAAGCUGCUGGAUCUAUAGCAUGAAACACAUACAACAUCCUCACAGCCGUAUGGUGGGCCCAGCUCAUGAAUAUCAUUACAUAGUAAUGGAGAGUGACUACUAGGGAAUAAAGCACAGGAUCGCACAGUAUGUUUAGCGAGGCUGUCAGGGCGGGAUAAGUGUCUUCAAUAUUUCAUUCUUUUUCUAUUUCAGUCAAAAGUUGAUUCAUGCAAUCGGAGUUGAUGUGAUGUCAUGUCUCUCAUAGAAACUUUUCUACAACAGUACUCCCUCUUUUUUUUUUUUUUUUUUUUUACAGAAACCUUGGCAAAAUAUGGACUGCUGGCCACAUCUAGCACAUCCGCGUUCUCUAACCAGCUCAUCACACUUUUCAGUAAGUCAACUGUGGCGUAAAGAGAUUAAAAGCUUGUUGGAUCAUAUUGAUGACAAUCAGUCACUGGUGGAGUACCAAUGAUCAAUAUUAAAAAACAUUGAUCAGUCGAGGAAAAGAAAUACAACACAGUAAUCAAUGUCCAUAGGUCACUGAGUUUGAAUGAAGACAGAUGGCUUGAAGCAGGAUUGUGACAGCCUGGAUUAAAAACUAUUUGGAUUCAUCAUAAUUUAAAUAUAAGUCGAUGAAGGUCCUGUAUAGAUUGAUCAUCACUUGAACAAAUCAGCAAAAUAACUUUUGCUGUGAGUUGUUUAUUCAUUUGCAAUUGAGCGAAUAAAACGUCCCAUGCCACGAGGUAAUUACUUUUUACAGGCUCUUAUUAAAGCAGUCUCCCAACUCCUAGCAAUAUGGACAAUUGUUUCUACAUCAUUAGUGAAAUUAACAUCAUGUUUAUAAAGCCACUUGUGGAUUGAAUCAUUUCAAUACUAAGUCACUCACAUGAGGGAUGUGAUUGUUUGCAAUACAGACAGAUAAUAAGGUCUUAUCAGUGGAUAAAAAUAAAGCUUGAAGUAAAUUUUAUCACUAUGGAAUUGUAUAUUUGUCAAUCUAUGGAUGUAACAGAAUUAUAGAAAGGGUUAUUCCCAUACUAUGAGAUGAUAAACGUUUUUUUUUUUUACCCUUAAAAGGCCAUGAGGAUAAAUGUUUUUGUUAUUCAUGAAGCACAGCAAAAUGUGGGUAGUUGAGAAAAUGCAUUAGCCACAAAAGCACUGAAAGCUGUGCUACGCUUUGUAUACCAGAGUGACACGUUGACAUUUGAACAUAAUGGUGCCAAUAAUGCAUUCAUCUGUUCUCCAUUUAUGGAGCAGUAGUCAGAAGUGACAGCAGUGAUAACAUAAUUCAGAAACUAUCACAGUACUUCUCCAUUCAUAGAGAACGUGUAUUUAUCACACUAUAAAUGCCGGAUGUGGUAUUUCUCUGUGGAAGUUCAACAUUUUCAAAUAUUAGAUAUUAUAAGCAAUCUGGUUCUCAAUGAUGUAUCUAAUGACACAUUUUCACAUCCCUAAUGUUAAUUUUCAUGCCAAUACUUAAAAGACAUUUCUGAGUUGUUGUUUUUUUUGUCAUGGUUUAAAAAUGAUGCUGGAAUAGCACAGGUCUUUUCAUCAGAUUUCCAAUUCUCCACCACGGCUAUAACACUCUUUUCCUCUUUACAGUCACUGAUAAAUGAUUUACACUGUGUAUGGAUGUACA